CCUACGGGAGGCAGCAGUGGGGGAUAUUGCACAAUGGGGGGAACCCUGAUGCAGCGACGCCGCGUGGGUGAAGAAGCGCCUCGGCGCGUAAAGCCCUGUCAGCAGGGAAGAAAAUGACGGUACCUGAAGAAGAAGCCCCGGCUAACUACGUGCCAGCAGCCGCGGUCAUACGUCGGGGGCAAGCGGUAUCCGGGUUUACUGGGUGUAUAGGGGGCGCAGACGGCGAUGCAAGCCAGGAGUGAAAGCCCGGGUCCCAACCCCGGGACUGCUCUUGGAACUGGGUGGCUGGAGUGAAGGAGGGGCAGGCGGAAUUCCUGGUGUAGCGGUGAAAUGCGUAGAUAUCAGGAGGAACACCGGUGGCGAAGGCGGCCUGCUGGACUGCAACUGACGUUGAGGCCCGAAAGCGUGGGGAGCAAACAGGAUUAGAUACCCUUGUAGUC
RNAcentral lists this ribosomal RNA (440 nucleotides) under uncultured bacterium. Its description in RNAcentral is "partial 16S ribosomal RNA". It matches the Rfam family "Bacterial small subunit ribosomal RNA", at positions 338 to 795 of the family's 1533-position model. The record is from RNAcentral.